UACGGAGGGUGCGAGCGUUAAUCGGAAUUACUGGGCGUAAAGGGUGCGUAGGUGGUUAAUUAAGUUAUCUGUGAAAUUCCUGGGCUUAACCUGGGACGGUCAGAUGAUACUGGAUAACUCGAGUAUGGGAGAGGGUAGUGGAAUUUCCGGUGUAGCGGUGAAAUGCGUAGAGAUCGGAAGGAACACCAGUGGCGAAGGCGGCUACCUGGCCUAAUACUGACACUGAGGCACGAAAGCGUGGGGAGCAAACAGG
This 253-nucleotide ribosomal RNA is filed under the name uncultured bacterium. Its description in RNAcentral is "partial 16S ribosomal RNA". It matches the Rfam family "Bacterial small subunit ribosomal RNA", at positions 524 to 776 of the family's 1533-position model. The record is from RNAcentral.